GACGAACGCUGGCGGCGUGCCUAAUACAUGCAAGUAGAACGCUGAAGCUUGGUGCUUGCACCGAGCGGAUGAGUUGCGAACGGGUGAGUAACGCGUAGGUAACCUGCCUGGUAGCGGGGGAUAACUAUUGGAAACGAUAGCUAAUACCGCAUAAGAGUAGAUGUUGCAUGACAUUUGCUUAAAAGGUGCAAUUGCAUCACUACCAGAUGGACCUGCGUUGUAUUAGCUAGUUGGUGAGGUAACGGCUCACCAAGGCAACGAUACAUAGCCGACCUGAGAGGGUGAUCGGCCACACUGGGACUGAGACACGGCCCAGACUCCUACGGGAGGCAGCAGUAGGGAAUCUUCGGCAAUGGACGGAAGUCUGACCGAGCAACGCCGCGUGAGUGAAGAAAGGUUUUUCGGGAUCGUAAAAGCUCUGUUGUAAAGAGAAAGAAACGAAGUGUG
RNAcentral lists this ribosomal RNA (447 nucleotides) under Streptococcus sp. oral taxon C08. RNAcentral's name for it is "bacterial SSU rRNA". It matches the Rfam family "Bacterial small subunit ribosomal RNA", at positions 28 to 461 of the family's 1533-position model. The record is from RNAcentral. Lineage: Bacteria; Bacillati; Bacillota; Bacilli; Lactobacillales; Streptococcaceae.